Molecule: ribosomal RNA, 467 nt
Filed under: uncultured bacterium
Lineage: Bacteria
Description: bacterial SSU rRNA
Rfam family: Bacterial small subunit ribosomal RNA
Source: RNAcentral
AACACAUGCAAGUCGAGGGGCAUCACAGAGAUAGCUUGCUAUCUUGGGUGGCGACCGGCGCACGGGUGAGUAACGCGUAUCCAACCUGCCCAUUACUCAGGGAUAGCCUUGCGAAAGUAAGAUUAAUACCUGAUGUUGUUUGAUUGCCGCAUGACGAUCAAACCAAAGAUUUAUUGGUAAUGGAUAGGCUCGCGUGACAUUAGCUAGAUGGCGGGGUAACGGCCCACCAUGGCGACGAUGUCUAGGGGUUCUGAGAGGAAGGUCCCCCACACUGGAACUGAGACACGGUCCAGACUCCUACGGGAGGCAGCAGUGAGGAAUAUUGGUCAAUGGUCUGACGACUGAACCAGCCAUGCCGCGUGAAGGUCACGGCCCUAUGGGUCUUAAACUUCUUUUGCAAGGGAGCAAUAAGCCUCACGUGUGGGGCGAUGAGAGUACCUUGCGAAUAAGCAUCGGCUAACUCCGUG